This 22-nucleotide unclassified non-coding RNA is filed under the name Mus musculus (house mouse). RNAcentral describes it as "oocyte_clustered_small_RNA13067". The record is from RNAcentral. Lineage: Eukaryota; Metazoa; Chordata; Mammalia; Rodentia; Muridae.
AUGGGCAAGUGUCGUGGUCUCC